UGACUUCAGGGGUUAAUCAUAACAUAACUUGGUCUGAAACCAACAG
RNAcentral lists this long non-coding RNA (46 nucleotides) under Pongo abelii (Sumatran orangutan). RNAcentral describes it as "lincRNA". The record is from RNAcentral. Lineage: Eukaryota; Metazoa; Chordata; Mammalia; Primates; Hominidae.